AUUUAAAUAGUUUAUAACAAAACAUUGACUUGUGGGGUCAAAAAAAUAUCUCAUAUUUUAAAUU
This 64-nucleotide transfer RNA is filed under the name Dryocosmus liui. RNAcentral describes it as "tRNA-His". Lineage: Eukaryota; Metazoa; Arthropoda; Insecta; Hymenoptera; Cynipidae. The record is from RNAcentral.